CAAGGGGAGUGGCAGACGGGUGAGUAACACGUGGGAACAUACCCUUUGGUUCGGAACAACGCCGGGAAACUGGCGCUAAUACCGGAUACGCCGUGCCCGUGAGGGUGCGGGAAAGGCUUUGCUGCCGGAGGAUUGGCCCGCGUUCGAUUAGCUAGAUGGUGCGGGUAACGGCCCACCAUGGCGACGAUCGAUAGCUGGUCUGAGAGGAUGGCCAGCCACAUUGGGACUGAGACACGGCCCAA
RNAcentral lists this ribosomal RNA (242 nucleotides) under uncultured bacterium. Its description in RNAcentral is "partial 16S ribosomal RNA". It matches the Rfam family "Bacterial small subunit ribosomal RNA", at positions 87 to 334 of the family's 1533-position model. The record is from RNAcentral.